CGUUACACACCGCCCGUCAAGCCNCGAAAGGAGAGAGCGCUCUAAGCCGCCUUGGUAACCCGCAAGGGAACUAAGCGUCUAAAGCGAGAUUUCUGAUUGGGGCU
RNAcentral lists this ribosomal RNA (104 nucleotides) under uncultured bacterium. RNAcentral's name for it is "partial 16S ribosomal RNA". It matches the Rfam family "Bacterial small subunit ribosomal RNA", at positions 1381 to 1482 of the family's 1533-position model. The record is from RNAcentral.